AAACCUAACUUCAACCUCAAAUCCUCUCCCUCUCAGCCGCCACUCCCUCCCCCGCUUUCUCAUUUUCUUCUUCAACCGUUGUCAUAUCGGUGCCUUCUUUCUUCCCGAUUAUAUUCAUAUCUCUAUAUUUUAAGGUUUUUAAAUCUUCUUAUUUUUAUGUGACUUAGAUUCUGGGUUAACUUUUACGGGUUCCAACAAUUUGAUAAAUAUUGUGUCUUAUAUUUUAUAUAUAAAUAUUGCGAGGGAACUUGAAAAUUACAAGGAUAUAAUGUUGGGAUGAAGAUCCUUUAAGAAGUUUUCCAAAAAGUUUACAGGGGGCAUCUAAAUUCUUGAAUGCAAGAUUUGAAGCUAUUUCUUCCUUGAAUGCAAUCGGGUGGCGACGUCUUGAAUCCCCAAAUCAAAUACUUAGAUUUUUUUUUUGAUGCGGAACCCUUAGAAUUUUAUAGAUAAAGAAAAAAUAUCUAACCCAAUGUACAUAGUUUGUAUUAUUUUAGUUUGACAAGUAUUUAAAUUUGAGUUCAUCUUAUUGUUUAGCCUCCCAAUAGCUAGUUUUUAUUCUAUAAACUUUAUUAUUUCUCUUGUAGAAGAGUUGUAUGUAUAUUGAGGAUGCAUGAACUUUAGAUAUAUAAUUGUAUAUUUUAGAAUUAACUUUUGGAAUUA
Nicotiana attenuata is the source of this 660-nucleotide long non-coding RNA. RefSeq lists it as uncharacterized. NCBI's taxonomy places the organism in Eukaryota, Viridiplantae, Streptophyta, Magnoliopsida, Solanales, Solanaceae. The transcript is spliced from 2 exons. The record is from RefSeq and is a predicted model, not a curated record.